This 468-nucleotide ribosomal RNA is filed under the name uncultured bacterium. RNAcentral's name for it is "partial 16S ribosomal RNA". It matches the Rfam family "Bacterial small subunit ribosomal RNA", at positions 28 to 507 of the family's 1533-position model. The record is from RNAcentral.
GACGAACGCUGGCGGCGUGCUUAACACAUGCAAGUCGAACGGAAAAGCCCUGCUUUUGUUUGGUGCUCGAGUGGCGAACGGGUGAGUAACACGUGAGUAACCUGCCCUUUACUUUGGGAUAACUUCAGGAAACUGCUGCUAAUACCGGAUAAGCGCUCCUUCUGCAUGGUGGGGGUUGGAAAGUUUCGGCUGUUGGGGAUGGACUCGCGGCUUAUCAUCUUGUUGGUGGGGUAGUGGCUUACCAAAGCUUUGACGGGUAGCCGGCCAGAGAGGGUGGCCGGCAACAAUGCGACUGAGAUAAGGCACAGACUAGAAUGGGAGGCAGAGGUGGAGAGUAUUACACAGCGGGAGGGAGCAUGAUGAAGAAAAGCGGCGUGGGGGAGGACGGGAAUGGGGUUGGAAAGCGCAUUCGCGUGGGACGAAGCGUGAGUGACGGUAAUGGGUAAAGAAGCACCGGCUAACUACGUG